RNAcentral lists this unclassified non-coding RNA (1459 nucleotides) under Hevea brasiliensis (rubber tree). Lineage: Eukaryota; Viridiplantae; Streptophyta; Magnoliopsida; Malpighiales; Euphorbiaceae. The record is from RNAcentral.
CCCUUCUUCACUAAAUUAAAUACCUUUGAAGCUUCUUCUUCAUCCCCACUUCUCUCUUUGUACUUCAAAAUCCCUUUCCACUUUCACUUUCAGCAGCAUUUCUCAGCUUCAAAAUGUAUCGUUUUGCAGCAAAUCUUGCUUCUAAAGCCAGUGUUGCAAGAACCAGUUCCCAAAAGAUUGGUGGGAGGUUGAAUUGGAGUAGAAACUAUGCUGCAAAGGAUAUCAGAUUUGGAGUUGAAGCUAGAGCUUUGAUGCUUCAAGGUGUUGAGCAGCUUGCUGAUGCUGUUAAAGUCACUAUGGGUCCAAAGGGGCGUAAUGUGGUGAUUGAACAAAGUUGGGGUGCACCCAAAGUGACAAAAGAUGGCGUGACUGUUGCAAAAAGUAUUGAAUUCAAGGACAAGAUACAAAAUGUUGGUGCUAGCCUUGUAAAACAAGUCGCCAAUGCAACAAAUGAUGUUGCUGGUGAUGGUACCACUUGUGCAACAGUUCUCACCCGAGCAAUAUUUGCUGAAGGAUGCAAGUCAGUGGCAGCUGGUAUGAAUGCAAUGGACCUUAGACGGGGUAUUACCAUGGCUGUAGAUUCUGUUGUGACAAACCUGAAAAGCAGAGCACGGAUGAUCAGUACAUCUGAGGAAAUUGCACAGGUUGGGACUAUCUCUGCAAACGGAGAAAGAGUAAUUGGCGACCUCAUUGCAAGGGCAAUGGAGAAAGUAGGCAAGGAGGGAGUCAUCACUAUUCAAGACGGGAAGACAUUGCUCAAUGAGUUGGAUGUUGUUGAAGGGAUGAAGUUGGAUAGAGGUUACAUAUCACCAUACUUCAUCACAAAUCAGAAGAAUCAGAAAUGUGAACUGGAUAACCCACUAAUUCUGAUUCAUGAGAAAAAGAUCUCAAGCAUUAAUGCUGUUGUGAAAGCAUUGGAGUUAGCUCUGAAGAGACAAAGGCCCCUCUUAAUUGUGGCUGAAGAUGUGGACAAUGAAGCACUCGCCACUCUUAUUUUGAACAAACUCCGUGCUGGAAUCAAGGUUUGUGCCAUCAAAGCACCAGGCUUUGGUGAAAACAGGAAAGCUUAUUUGCAAGAUCUUGCUAUUUUAACUGGAGGCCAAGUCAUAACAGAAGAGCUUGGACUGAACAUUGAAAAUUUGGAGUUCGAGAUGCUGGGAACAAGUAAAGAGGCAACUAUCUCUAAGGAUGAUACUGUCAUUCUUGAUGGUGCUGGUGAGAAGAAGUCCAUCGAGGAACGAUGCGAACUGAUUAGAUCAACCAUUGAACAGAGCACAUCUGACUAUGACAAGGAGAAGUUGCAGGAAAGACUAGCUAAGCUUUCAGGGGGUGUUGCUGUGUUAAAGAUUGGAGGAGCCAGUGAAGCUGAGGUUGGUGAAAAGAAAGAUAGAGUAACUGAUGCUUUGAACGCCACAAAGGCUGCAGUGGAGGAAGGAAUUGUUCCAGGUGGUGGUGUUGC